AGCCUGAACGCUGGCGGCGUGGCUAAGACAUGCAAGUCGUACGGUGUAGCAAUACACAGUGGCGAACGGGAGAGUAAUGAAUCGCUAAUGUGCCCCGGACUCUGGGAUAGCUAGUCGAAAGAUUAGGUAAUACCAGAUGACAUAUCCUAAUCGCAUGAUUGGGAUCUCAAAGGUCCGCCGGUCUGGGAGCAGGCGAUUUUGUAUCAGCUAGUUGGUGAGGUAACGGCUCACCAAGGCGACGACGCAUAGCCGGACUGAGAGGUUGGCCGGCCUCAUUGGGACUGAGACACUGCCCAGACUCCUACGGGGGGCUGCAGUAACGAAUCUUCCGCAAUGCACGAAAAGUGUGACGGAGCGACGCCGCGUGUGGGACGAAGUCCUUCGGGAGUGUAAACCAACUGUCAGGGGUUACCGAAGUUACUGAGGAGCCCCAGAGGAAGGGACGGCGUAACUCUGCGCCAGCAGCCGCGGU
RNAcentral lists this ribosomal RNA (472 nucleotides) under uncultured bacterium. RNAcentral's name for it is "SSU rRNA". It matches the Rfam family "Bacterial small subunit ribosomal RNA", at positions 26 to 521 of the family's 1533-position model. The record is from RNAcentral.